GACGAACGCUGGCGGCGCGCUUAACACAUGCAAGUCGAACGGAAAGGCCUGCUUUCCCUUGUGGAUUGCGGGUACUCGAGUGGCGAACGGGUGAGUAACACGUGAGUGAUCUGCCCCCAACUUGGGUAUAAGCCUGGGAAACUGGGUCUAAUUCCCGAUAGGACUGCAGGGUGGUGCCUGUGGUGGAGAACGAUUUUCUAGUGGUUGGGGAUGAGCUCGCGGCCUAUCAGCUUGUUGGUGGGGUAAUGGCCUACCAAGGCGGCGACGGGUAGCCGGCCUGAGAGGGUGGACGGCCACAUUGGGACUGAGAUACGGCCCAGACUCCUACGGGAGGCAGCAGUGGGGAAUAUUGCACAAUGGGCGGAAGCCUGAUGCAGCGACGCCGCGUGGGGGAUGACGGCCUUCGGGUUGUAAACUCCUUUCGACCGCGAGGAAGCCACCUGGUUGGAAGGGUGGUGACGGUAGUGGUAGAAGAAGCACCGGCUAACUACGUG
This 494-nucleotide ribosomal RNA is filed under the name uncultured bacterium. RNAcentral's name for it is "partial 16S ribosomal RNA". It matches the Rfam family "Bacterial small subunit ribosomal RNA", at positions 28 to 507 of the family's 1533-position model. The record is from RNAcentral.